RNAcentral lists this ribosomal RNA (441 nucleotides) under uncultured bacterium. RNAcentral describes it as "bacterial SSU rRNA". It matches the Rfam family "Bacterial small subunit ribosomal RNA", at positions 30 to 507 of the family's 1533-position model. The record is from RNAcentral.
AUUGAACGCUGGCGGUAUGCUUAAGACAUGCAAGUCGAACGGUAACAGGUUAAGCUGACGAGUGGCGGACGAGUGAGUAACGCGUGGGAAUCUACCUUGUAGUGGGGGAUAAGCCAGGGAAACUUGGACUAAUACCGCAUACGCCCUAAGGGGGAAAGGCGCAAGUCGCUAUAAGAUGAGCCCGCGUCUGAUUAGGUAGUUGGUGGGGUAAAGGCCUACCAAGCCGACGAUCAGUAGCUGGUCUGAGAGGAUGAUCAGCCACGUCGGGACUGAGACACGGCCCGGACUCCUACGGGAGGCAGCAGUCGGGAAUAUUGGACAAUGGGGGAAACCCUCGAUCCAGCAAUACCGCGUGUGUGAAGAAGGCCUGCGGGUUGUAAAGCACUUUCAGUUGGGAAGAUAAUGACGUUACCAACAGAAGAAGCACCGGCUAACUCCGUG